GCGCCCCGAAAGGGUUUCCUUUCCCAGGACUGGGUUCUCGUCGGCGAACUCCCGCCUCUGCUCUCGCUUCGCCUGGGGGCUUCACGUGCGUGGAGGCGGCCACGGGGGCAGGCCCGGGCGGGGUUGCGUGUUGGUGGCUUGUGACAGGCCGGGACACAGUUUCACUGCGAGAUGUCAUACUGGCUUGCAAGAGACCAGGACCACUGCAGAGGUCUCUGGUAAUGUCCCCUUACCCUUUCCCUAUAACAGAGGAGAUCUUAAUUGCUGAGAAGGAACAGGAGAAUAGAAAAGAUGGCCUGAAGGAAUCACCAGAAGCAGGAGGACUCCACCCUUUGCAGCCUCAAAAUUGCAAAAGUGAAAGACUGCUUUGAGAAGAGAGCCUCAGAGUACCACGUUCCAGAAUGGCAAUGGGCUAGGGAGGUUGUUCAUAGGCACUGGACUCCUAAAGCCAAGAGAGGAUGAAGCCUGGCUACGAUUUCAGCUGGCAGCAGACCUUGGCAUCAUCCACAUGGUGUUUGUUUUAGGGGAGGCAGAAUGUAAGAGUUGUGGGGUCAGGAAGUCUUCCACCCAGAUUUCAGAAGAAGGCCUGGGAGGCCAGGCAGGGUGUCCCUGAGAGGGCAGUGUGUGAAGCUGUGAGUGUGAAGCCAAAGGUACAGUGGAGACUCCAGAAGUUCGGAGAAGCCAAGAAUGUGGACCGUCUGAGGAAAACUGUAAGGAAGGAGCAGAGCCAGCCCAAGAGAAAGUCAUGGGAGCUACCACCACCUGAAGUGCCAUAGGGGUGAAGCCACCCAAGCCCUUUGGAGUUCACAACUUGCCACAGGUUACUGGGGAUGCUGAAAGUGGUACUGUAGGAUUUAAUGUUAGCCCUGCUGGAUUUUGGUCUUACUUUGUUCCCAUUCCUUGCGAUCUCCCUGUUUGUAACUUUUGGAAUGAAAAUGUCUAUCUUGUGCCAUUGAAUGUUGGAAGUGUUUAACUUUCUUUCCAUUUAUACAGGGGUUUGCAGCUAAGAGUUUCCCUUAAAUCUCAGAGGAGAAUUUGGACUUGGACUUUUCAGCAGUGCUGAAACUGUUAGGACUUUGGCAACUCUUGGAGCUGGACUAAAUGCCUUUUGCAUAAAGGGAUGUGCAUAAGUCUUUGGGGGACCAGGGUGGAAUCUUAUGGCUUGUGUCUAGAUGUCCCCCAAAACCUCAUGCAGUCAUAGGUGGGACUUUUUCAGAGGUGGCUGGAUCUAGAAUAUGAGACUCUGGAAUUGAGUCAUGGUGCAAUGCUCGGCUCAAGGGCACUAGGAUUAAGGGUGUGAGUACUACCCACCAUAAGUAGCCUGAUAAAAAAAAGGGGCAGAAAGACACUGUUAAGGUCCCUUGUUGCUUUUCCUGCCUUCUGCAUACAAUGAACUGUUUCUUCUCUGUGAUGCCCUUAUGCCAUGUGCCAUUCUGCCUUGGAGCCAGCCAACUAUGGACAGAAACUUCUACAAACUGUGAGGUAAAUAAACCUUUCUCCCUUUAACUUUGGAUGUUGGGUAUUGUUUCAGCAACAAUAGAGAAGUGACUAAGACAACUUUGAACAAUACUCUGCUAUGAACACACUGCCAUCAACAAUCUCAGUUUGACUGGGACUGUGAGUUAUACAGGAAUAAGGGACUUUCUGCCAUCAAAGGAUGAAUUGGCUACCCUAGUCAUAGAAUUGGUUAUGUGUCUUUGUUUCAAGGAAUUAAACACCCAAACAAAAGCUAUCUCAGUUAGAAGAAGAUAUAAUGACUCAUUUGGCUGGGAAGUCUAAGCAUGUGGAGAUUCCAGGCCAAGCUGGAGCAGACAUCAAAUAAUGUAAUUACAGUUCCCUCUUAUUCCCUACUGCAGUGCCAGUUCCCUCUGUGUGUUAGCUCCUUUGUGGAUUGUGCAGGAAAAUGUGGACUUUCUUUCAUGGAGAACAGGUGUUCUAAUUGCCUAGGACAAGGAUUAAAACAGAAAUGCCUACAAGGUGAGACACACAAUAUCAAUGAAUGGAGCAGGCUGGCUGGAAGACAACAGGAAGUGAUGUGAACGUUGAGGGGGAGCCCUGAUCGUCGGUGCUGUCCAGGAAUGAAAGGUUACUAUUGCCAGACACUCCAAUUUCCUUUUUUUUUUUUUUCAGGUUCUGGGGAUUGAACUCAGGACCUUUCACUGAGCUAAAUCCCCAGCCCUCCAAUUUGCUUUUAAAGAAGCCAGAAAUGGGGUACUCUGAUUUUCAAAUGUUAACAACUAAUUAAAUUAAGUAACAACGACACUAUCCUGAGAAAAGUCACUCAGGAGGCACACAUGAGUUUGUAACCUCUGCCUUUGGCAGUCUAAGGCCAUUUCCCAAAUGCUCAGGUUGUGCUUGGACACAUACCUGCAGAAAGUGCUCUAUGUAAGUGUUCUUAGGAUACAUCCACUCUUUCUGAAAAUAGAUCUCAUUUAAGUUAAUAAUCACCGACUCUGUCAUGUGCUUGCUGUAUGCCAGAUAUUGCACUAAGCAAUUUGUACAUUUAUUUUAUUCUAUAAUAACCCUGGGGCAUAGUUACUAUUAUUAGCGACAUAACCUCUCUACAGAUGAAGAAACAGAACAGAGAAGUUAAUUAUGUAUCUUCCUUGAUAUCAUGCAGCUGGAGAGGUCAAAGUUGGAUUUAUUCUCUAGAGUCUGACUAUAGUACUCAGAUUCUCCUUCUCUUUGAUGAAUUACUUCAGGGGCCACAAACUCAGACUUAUCUUAGAAUCAGAGAAGGGUAGAGACCAGAAGGAACCUCAAAGAUCAUCUAGUAUGUUAACCUGUUUACUUUAAAAUGGUAAAAUUGAGACCAAAAGCAAGGAGUGACUUUAACAACUUCUCAAGGCCUAUCAGUGGCUGCACUGGAAUAAAUUCAAGCCCUUAUGCUGUUCCAUGUAGUUUCUGGAACUUGCCACCUACAAGUACUCUAAGUCCCUGGUGAGUUUUACAAAGCAUCCUGAAGCCUCGACCGUUAUUCCUGUGGGGUUGUUUCUGAGUUGACAUGUUCUUCAUCUCUUGUAUACCAGCUCUUCAGAGGGGGCAAUAUUUUCUUGUCUUUUUAACCAGGAAAGAAGAUUACAGCAAUUAUUUUUCUUUAAAUUGGUCAUUUAAUCUAUUUCAUCCACAGUCAUCCCUGUGAUUUGAGGGAGAAGCCAAGAGAAUGGGGAAAAUAUUUCACAACUGUGAUAAAUAUCUAUCUUCUAAGGCCUUUCCAUCAAUUUCUAGGAAGUAGGUCACCAAGAAGCAUUGAAAGUGCCAUUUUUGUCUACAUAGAAAAAUGGUCAUAAUGAGCAGUUUAAAAAAUACUGAAUUCAAGUGUGUGAUUUCUCAAAGACAUACACAUGUGAAUUUAACAAAUACAUAUGGACAGUCUUUCAUGUGCAAAAUAUUUUGCUGAAUCCUAUGAAAAUAUAAUAAUUAGGGGGUUAAGGGAGGGCUGGGAAUGGGGAAAAAAUAAGAACCAAGAUGCAUCAUGUAAAGUUACAAGUUCCCAAUGAGAAAUGUAAAUGUGUUGUAUACCUAAAAUGUACCAAUAAAAGAAUUUAAGUAACUAAAAAAAAGAAAAUAUAACAAUUAAUAAGAUCUGAUCCCUGUCUUCAUGGUGCUUAUUAAUAGUAGAGAAUACAAACAUAUAGAAUAAAAUAAAAUAAAAAUUUUGAAGAUCUAUUAAAAAAUAAUAAUCAAAUCCAACUCAGGAUCAGGAAAGACUUCCUGAAGUUGAGCCCAACCUUGAAUAUUGGCCAUGUUUUAGUAGAUAUACUUGGCAAUGAAAGCUCCACAGCAAAAGGAAGCACACAAGCAAUGACAGAAAGGGGAGAAAGAACAGGGUGUGUUUAGAGAGCAUGUAGUAACAGAUUUGGUCUAUUGUGGAAGGUUCUGAUUGCCAGGCUGAGAAAUCUGCCCUACUCAGUGAGCAAGAGAGGUCUAUUACAGUCUUUCAGAUUGGUGAAUCACAUGAUCAGAGAUGCUUUUAGGAAAGCAAACCUUGUAGAACUGAAGUGGGAGGAGACUGCAGGUGAACAGAACACUAAAGAUGUUGUGAGAAGAUGCUCUUGACAAGCACCAAUGCUGGUUAGGACCAGAGUUCUGGGGGUGGGAGUAGGAAGGACACCGAAGGGCAUGGUAGAAGCAGUCUUUGGGAUAUGAGGUAGGGAUAAAAGAUAAUUAAAAUGAUUUCUUAGUUUGGAGCUUUAAUAACUGGAAGGAUGAUGUCACAAUUACAGAAAUAGGGAAGAAAGGGAGAAGAACUGGCUUGAGGUAGUAGAUGGUGGAGUUUCAAGUUGCCAAGAAUGAGGUGCCAAGUGAUUAUCAAAGGAGAUAUGUACAUUGAGUCUCAGGUUCUGGUAUGAGUUUAGCUUGCAGAUUUAGGUUUGGAGAGUAUUUGCAGAGAAAUAGGGACAGAGGGUAAAUGUUUACUAUAGUCCUGUUAUUUCCUACUCCCUGGAUACAUUUCUCUAUAUAUUGUGACAUCCAGCCAUAUAAGAUCACCAUGAAAUGGAGACCCAGAGAAGUUGAUUGUUUGCAGAUGUUCCCAAAGUUUAUCUCAUCACCUGUUAUUACAAGAGAUGAAGAACAUGUCAACUCAGAAACAGCCUGGCAGGAAUAAUGGUCGAGGCUUCAGAAUGCUUUGUAAAACUCACCAGGGACUUAGAGUACUUGUAGGUGGCAAGUUCCAGAAACUACAUGGAACAGCAUAAGGGCUUGAAUUUAUUCCAGUGCAGCCACUGAUAGGCCUUGAGAAGUUGUUAAAGUCACUCCUUGCUUUUGGUCUCAAUUUUCCCAUUUUAAAAUAAACAGGUUAACAUAUUAGAUGAUCUUUGAGGUUCCUUCUGUCUCUAUAAAUAAGUAGAAUAAAGAUAUACUAUGUAUAAGAACCUAAUAACCUCAAUGAAUGUAAACAUUAUAGGCCAUAAACAUGAGCUAAGAUCAAAAAUAUCAACCAGAAUAAAAAUGGAAAAGGGGAAAUUAGAGGAGGAGAUAUUGAGAGGGAGGGAAGGAGAGGGGGCUUAAAAAACAAAAAUAGUUGUUUUGUGUACAUGUACAUACUCCCCAAAAUAAUUGUAAGCUACAUGCAAACUACAAACAUGUACUAAUAAAACAUUUAAAAAACCAAAAACAACUGAGUCAACUAACCAUCCAUUAAAUCUUAUAAAAAUUGUUAGCCAAAAUAAACCUUUUUCUCUUUUCAA
This is a long non-coding RNA of Heterocephalus glaber (naked mole-rat), 5192 nucleotides long. RefSeq lists it as uncharacterized. The record is from RefSeq and is a predicted model, not a curated record. NCBI's taxonomy places the organism in Eukaryota, Metazoa, Chordata, Mammalia, Rodentia, Bathyergidae.